Molecule: long non-coding RNA, 791 nt
Filed under: Hordeum vulgare
Lineage: Eukaryota; Viridiplantae; Streptophyta; Magnoliopsida; Poales; Poaceae
Description: long non-coding RNA (HVUL_LNC009334)
Source: RNAcentral
GUAAUAUGUUUUUAAUUAUUUUUACGUACUUUAUUGAAUAUUAUCCUUGAUGAAUGUUUCAUUUUAAAUGCCUCUGAUAUUCUAGAUAGCCAAAAGGUGGAACUAACAGUCGGAGACCAUGGUGGUGAUCAAGAUGUUGCUGGAACCACCUAGGUAAUUUUUCCAUGUUGCCUUUAAUUCUCAUGUACUAGAUUAACUUUUGAAGGAUGGCUACAUGUAUUAAUCUGUAAACUGGACUGUUCUCAGAGUUCUGGAGCAGUCAACUGUCAGCAUCAGAAUGAUCCAUGGCUUCUUUCAACAUAUAUGAAGUUUCAGGGAAGUGUAGCUUCAGAUAAUCAUCAUUGAAGAUUUUGCUAUCCUAGUAGAUAAUCUUGAAUCAUUUUGAAUGUUCAAGAUAAUGCCCAUGUACGAUCCAGGUAGUAGUUAUGAUUAAAUUACACUUCAUAUAAUCAUCGUGUUGCUUCCCGCAUUGUCGCCAACCUGGUCGUAGUUAUGAUUAAAUUACACUUUCAGGGUGAUAAUGCCCAUGUACGAUCCUGGUUGUAGCUUCAGAUAAGCAUGAUUCAAAAAGUGGAUAAUAGUCGUACAUGUUGUAUACAUUUAAAAAGUGGGAACCCACUUGAUCCCACUUAACCCACUUAAAUUUUAGUCGAUUGUUGGCUAUAACCCACCAAAACGUGUUGGAAUUAAGUGGGAUGUGGUGGGACUCACGCUAUUAGUCCCACCUGCAGCCUGACCCCACACGCCAGCUUUGUAAUCUGUCCAGAUUUGUCCUAAUCACAUUUUAUGUU